Molecule: long non-coding RNA, 4203 nt
Organism: Motacilla alba alba
Lineage: Eukaryota; Metazoa; Chordata; Aves; Passeriformes; Motacillidae
Exons: 3
Source: RefSeq, a predicted model, not a curated record
UUGUUUACCUUAUUCAUCAAUGCCUUGGAUGAAAGUGCAGAUCCCUCCUCAGCAAGUUCACUGGUGACACCAAUCUGGGAGGAGUGGUCAACACCCAGAGGGCUGUGCAGCCCUGCAGAAGGACCUCAACAGGUUGGAGAGGGGCAGAGAAGAACUUCCUGAAAUUCAGCAAAGGUAGGUGCAGGGUCCUGCACAUGGGGAAGAAAAACCCCUGCACCAGUAGUGGCUGGGGGCUGAGCUUCUGUGAAGCAGCUCUGUGGAGAAGGACCUGGGUGUCCUGGUGGAUGACAAACUGUCCCUGAGCCAGCAGUGUGCCCUGGUGACCAAGAAGGCCAAUGAUCAGAUUUGCUGCUUUAGAAGGACCAUGGCCAGCAGGUGGACAGAGGUGAUCCUGCCACUGUUCUCAGCCCCGGUAAGGCCACAUCUGGAAAGCUGUGUCCAGUUCUGGGCUCCUCAGGACAAGAGAGACGUGUACCUACUGGAGCAGGUCCAGUGAAGGACUGUGAAGAUGAUGAGGGGUCUGGAGUGUCUCUCUUACAGGCUGAGGCAGCUGAGCCUGCUCAGCCUCAACAAAAGGCAGCUGAGAGGGGACCUCAUCAAUGGACCUCUGUGAGUAUCUGAAGGGAGGGUGUCAGGAGGAUUGUGCCAGGCUCAUAUUGGUGCCAAGCAGCAGGACAAGAUGCAAUGGGAAGAAAGUUUUGCAUGAAUAAUAAGAAAAACACUUUACUCUGUGUGUGUGACUAAGCACUGGAACCAGUUGCACAGAGAGGUUGUGAGGUUUCCCUCACUGAAGAUAUUUAAGAACCACCUGGAAGCAAUCCCAUGCAACGUGCUCUGGGAUGUCCCUGCAUGCGCAGGCAGGUUGGACCAGAUGACCUGCUGUGGUCCCUUCCAACCUUACCCAGCUUGUGAUUCUGUGAAAAAAAGUAUUCUUGAAAUAUGUUUCCUCAAACUGUGACAGCUAUUGAAAAUUUAAAUGUUCCCCCAGUUCAGUCAGCACGAACCUUAGAAUAGUUAAAUGCAACAGUAAAGGAAACACUAACAGAACAUAGUAAGAGGAAAAUUGUUUUAAAAUAUUUUUUCUUUAAGUUUAUUGCUUAUUAUUGAUUUCACAUCAAAAGCAACAUAUUUAAAAUGAUCACAUUAGGUAAUUGUACAUUUUUCAAUGGAAUUUUAGGACUGUUUUUUCUAAGAAACAUUUUCAUGCCCUAAGUGAAAAACCCUCAAUUUGACAGAUUUGUGAAAGCAAAGUUGCUAGGGAUUUUGAAGACAAUCAUCUCAGUCUAACCCGUGGUUCAGGACAUCUUAGAAGUGUAGACUGCUGGAAGCUGAGAUGACACAUUGGGAAAGUGCAGCUUUUGUAUUCAUGGCUUGUACAUUUUGUAAAGGUCAUGUAUUUAGGUUAACAAAGUUUUACUUGGGGCAGUAUCUGUAUUUACUCUUUUAAGGAUUAUCCUUACAUAUGUGCAUAUGUUCGGAUGUAUAACCCGGUUCCAAUAUGAUAUUUUGUAAUGAAAACUAAUAUCAACAUUACUGUCCCACAAUUUAUGAUCUCUCUAUUCCUGUCAUGGCCUUCAUCCGAAACUCAGUCUCCUGUGCUAUAAAUUACAUGAUACAUUAUAAGAUUUGUGCUUCUUUCUGUCUCCAGGUCCUUGAUACUAAUCAUGAAAUCUUUUAGACUACUCUUCAUUCUUCCCUGCUAUUUCAGCUUCCUCCUCCAGUUUCUGUCUUCUCAGUCUUCAAAGUCUUAUACUUUCCUUCAGUCUGUCUUUCAUUAGAAGCCCUUUGGAUUCCAUCUCUUUCAACAUGCAUUUCCAUAAGUCACUUCACUCUGUAUGUUGAUCUACUCCUAGAAUUACUUUUGAGCCUGUAUAUGUUAAGUUACUUGAUGUACCAGAUCACUGCCUACUACCUUUGAUCGUCUUUUGACAUUGAAGCAAAUUUGUGCUGUCUUUUGAGUCAAGAAAGAUAGUGAAAUGGAGCUCAUACAAGAUAUGUACCUCAAAUUUACACAGUGUAAGCUACUUUUCAGAAGUCAGUGCACAGCCUUGCCUUCUUCUGGGCCAUGACUGGCUUAAAAUAAAUGUCUCUUGCUCUAGAGCAUGACACAGCUUUGACAACAGAAGUGAAGUUCGUGCUGGCUGCAGGAGUGAUGAAUAUCAAGCUGUAUCAGAGGAGCAAUAUGCGUCACAUCCUUUAAACUGAUCCUCAUGGAUUAUGCUUGGCUCUACCACCAGUCCAUGUGCAUGCCCUCUGUUCUUGUUGGAAAAUCACAAGAAGCUGGAUCACUCUCAAUUCUUUGGUGAAAGGAGAAAUAAUAUUUUGGUAAAGAAAAAGAAGGAAAAUAAAGGUACCCAAUCCCUGUGCUGGAAGACAGACACAGGAGACAGAAUGAAGCCCUCAGAAUCUAAGGGGAAAUGCUCAGAACCUGCUGUACCACACAGAUAUGCACAAGUCUAUGGGGCCAGAUGGAAUCCCCCCAAGGGUAUCAAAGGAGGUGACAGAAGUGCUCCCUGAGGCUCCCUCCAUCACCUCCCUGCAGCCCUGGAGAGCUGGGUAAGUCACAGUUGACUGGAGGUUAUCACACAUGAGGUGUGUCUACAGAAAAGGCUGGAAGGAGGAUACAGGGAACUACAGGCCUGUCAGUCUCAGUGCCAGGGAAAGUCACAAAACAGAUCAUGCUGAGUGCCAGCAUGCUGCACAUACGGGACAGCCAGGGACUCAGGCCCAGCCAGCGUGACUUCAUGAAAGGCAGGUCCUGUUCAAACAACAUCAUCUCCAUCUAUGACAAGGAGACCUGCUUAGUACAUGAUGAAAAGACUAUGGAUAUUGCCUUCCUGGGCUUUAGCAAAGCCUUUGACAAUGUCUCCCACAGCCUUCUCCUGGAGAAACUGACUGCUUGGAUAGGUCCACUCUUGGCUGGGUAAAAAAAAAAGGGUGGCUGGGCCAGAAACUGGUGGUGAAUGAAGCUGAGUCCAAAUAGUGACUGCUCACAAGUGUAGUUCCUGAGGGCUCAGUCUUGGGGCCAGUCCCGUUUAAUAUUUUUGUCAAUGAUCUGGAUGAGGGGAUCGAGCACACCCUCAGUCAGUUUGCAGAUGACACCAAGCUGGGUGGGAGUGUUGAUCUGCUGGAGGGCAGGAAGGCUCUGCAGAGGGAUCUGGCCAAGGGCAGAGUUAUAGUGUUCAACAAAACCAAGUGCCAGGUCCUGCGAUUGGGUCACAAAAACUCCAGGCAGCACUACUGUCUUGGGGGUCAGGGCUGGAAAGCUGCCCAAUGGACAAAGAACCUGGAAUUGUUGGUUGACAGUGAGCUGAGCAUGAGCUAACGUGAGCCAAGGUGGCCAAAAAGGCCAGUGACACCCUGGCUUAUACCAGAAACAGUGUGGGCAGCAGGACCAAGAAGGUGACCUCUGUACUUGGCACUGGUGAGGCCCCACCUCCAAACCUGGGUCCAGUUCUGGGACCGUCAACACAAGAAACAUGUUGAAAUGCUGGAGCAUGUCCAGAGAAGGGCAACAGAGCUGGGGAAGGGUCUGGGGCACAGUUCAUCAUAUGAGGAGCAGCUGAGGGAGCUGGGGGUGUUUAGCCUGGAGAAAAUGGGGCUCGGGGGGACAUUAUUUUUCCUAGAACUACCUGAAAAGGGGAUGUAGGAGGUAGGGGUUGGUCUCUUCUCCCAAGGAAAAAGUGUCAGAAUGAGACAAAAUAGGUUGUGCCAGGGGAGUUUUAUGUGAUAUAUGAGAAAAAACUUCUUCAGGGAGCAGGUGGUCAGGCACAGGAACAGGCCUCCCAGGGAAGUGGCAGUAUCACAAUUCCUGGAGAUAUUUAAAAGACGUGUAGACUUAGGGACAUGGUUUUGUGGUGAACACAGUGGUGCUAGAUUAGCAAGGGCAUUUGAUGAUCUAGGAGAUGUUUUCCAACCUUAAAAAUUGUAUGGUUCUAUGUUUUUUACAAAAAUUCUGGCGUUUCAUCAAUAAUCUGAGACUUCCUCUUUUUCUAUUUUAAGUGUUUAAAGACUGUAAUGAUGUUCAAUGUGACAAGACACCAGCACUCUGUCAUCUGGUCUAAACACUCACUGAGAUGUAGGUAUUAUUUAACAAAAAAUUAUUAAUUAUUAAUAAUUAUAACCAAUAUUUAUAAUUAAUUAUACCAAUUAAUACUUAUAAUUAAUGAUAUUAUGUUAAAUAAUAUUUAUAAUUUAUUAACA